RNAcentral lists this ribosomal RNA (253 nucleotides) under uncultured bacterium. RNAcentral's name for it is "partial 16S ribosomal RNA". It matches the Rfam family "Bacterial small subunit ribosomal RNA", at positions 524 to 776 of the family's 1533-position model. The record is from RNAcentral.
GACGAGGGGUCCUAGCGUUGUUCGGAAUCAUUGGGCGUAAAGCGCGCGUAGGUGGCUUCGUAAGUCCGUUGUGAAAGUCAAAGGCUCAACCUUUGAAUGCCGAUGGAUACUGCGGAGCUAGAGUACGGAAGAGGCGAGUGGAAUUCCUGGUGUAGCGGUGGAAUGCGCAGAUAUCAGGAGGAACACCAAUAGCGAAGGCAGCUCGCUGGGACGUUACUGACACUAAGGCGCGAAAGCGUGGGGAGCGAACAGG